Small nucleolar RNA from Myripristis murdjan (pinecone soldierfish), 133 nucleotides. Ensembl annotates it as small nucleolar RNA SNORA13. The record is from Ensembl. Lineage: Eukaryota; Metazoa; Chordata; Actinopteri; Holocentriformes; Holocentridae.
UGCCUUCAUGUGUUGCCCUUUCAUUGUCUCUUUAGUGAUUGGGGUGUCAAAUAAGGCAUACAGUGACCCUUGUGGCUUUCUGCAAAACGAGUUUCAUGUGACUCCGUUUACAAGAUAAGCUGCAAGGACAUGC